Astatotilapia calliptera (eastern happy) is the source of this 5472-nucleotide long non-coding RNA. The record is from Ensembl. NCBI's taxonomy places the organism in Eukaryota, Metazoa, Chordata, Actinopteri, Cichliformes, Cichlidae.
UUUAGUCAGUUCAGCUGUUAUGAGCUGUCAUUCAAUGAUGAUGUGAUGUGGCGAGUCGAAGGCCAACGCCAUGCGGUCAUGAGGUCAGAAUCACCCGCCCCAGUCUAAAAAGUUCACGUUAAAGUCCAACGUUUACCCUGGUGUUCCUCACACAGUCAGGCUGGAGUCAGUCCACAGCAGGAAAAGAGAUUUGGGCUCUUUAGCUCCAUAAAACAGUUUCUAAUGUUUGUGUAGUGACAGCAGAUGAUGAUGGAGAGGAUUUUUCUUCAGACAUUUCAGGCACUGAAUCGUCUGUUUUUCAUACACCUGUGUGUUUAUUUGAAUAAAAAGGGGUGGCCUUUAUUGACAGCCGUGCUCCUGUGAUGUUCAGGACUCCUGCUAAUGAUGAUUAAAUGUCCAACUGGUAAUCUUUAGAUAAUAGCUGAUCAGCCGUCUGCUCCCUGACGCCUCCCACAGGUUCUCUGUUUAUGGAGAUAAGCUGCAGACCAAAAAUCACCUCCUGAAUAUUUAAUGAUUCGGGAGGUUUCAAAGGAUAUCCCUCCAUUAUGUUUAUUAUGUUUCUGCACACAUGGGCCAUCGUAGCUCGAGCCUGCAGAGCUGUCAGGAGUUUAUAGAAUAUAAAAUACGUUAAUAAAUAAAAAAUCUGCUCUCAGGUUUCGACUGAACCUAUUCCUGUGAGGUGAGGUUAUUAUUUAUUAUCUCUGUUUUCUGAUGCUUACCUCGGUCUAAGCAGAGACUCCCCAGCUAUGGGACGCAUCCUAGUCAGGUGCUGUGCGUCUGUGCUACGAGCGCCUCCCAAAUCUGCCAGCCUGUCUCUGGUCUCUAAGGGAGCUCCAAGGGUCAGAUCACCUCCAUCCUUACACCUGCGAUCCUGUCAGGAUCACACCCGACCUCUAUGGCGCUUCCAUGGGACACUGUGUGUUUCCAGGUGGAUUAAAUGAUAGUAGUAGUUGCAUAUUUGUGAAAAAAAAAAAAAACACGACAAUGUUCAGUUUAAAUACAGGUUAUUUAAAGUCUUUGGUGAACACAGCUGCUGUUUGGACGCUUCGGUUGUUUUUGUAACUCACUUUCAUUGAAGUGACUCUUCAUGAGUUUAGAUGAGGAAUAAACAGUUUCCCGAGUCUCGCGUGCAGCUGAGUGUUUUAUUCAGUGGUUUCAUUCUGACUGGUCUGUGUGCCGUCAGCAGGGAGGUCGAUGCUCCUGCAGCAUCACCAGAGGAGGCUGAGAUGUUUCUCUACUAGCUUACCUGUAAAGCUUCAGCCUGAAGCUUGGCUCACUGGCUGUUGGUGUUUCUGAGCUGUUGCAGCAUCUCAUGGUCACUGAACCGGUGAUGAAAUCAUCAAACCUGUGUGCUCGUGUCUCCAGCACGGCCGCAGCAUGUUUCUAAAUGAUGAGCUAAAGCAUGGCAACAGAGUUGUGGUUUGACGCCAGAAAAAGCUCCGAUGCAGAUAAAUUCAGAUCUGUGACAUUCACACUGCUGCUCGCAGGCCUGCAGCUGGACUCAAGCUCCCAGUACCAACCCUCUAAGUCAGAUUUACCUUCACACUUACCUACAGCAUUUACAAAUUUGGGCUUUAUAUCUUUAUUAUAAAACUAAAAAACAAAUGCAUCCUUCUGUUCUGCAGUUUUUAGAUGUCCUGAAUAUAAUGGAGAAGAAUAUUGUUGAAGGAGCUUGCAGGGUUACGAGCAGGAAGUUAAAGAUGUGCUUUCCUCUGGUUAUCAUCAUUUUAGGACUAAAGUUAUUAGAAACUCUUUGAGCAGACGGUCGAAUAAAAAGAGACCAAUUGUGUUAAGAGUUAUUGACUGAAUAUGAUAAUUAUGCAGACAAAUAGACAGAAUUUAAAAGGAAUCAAAGGUUUGCUACUUCUUUCACGUUUGUUUGUGUUUCUGAGUCGUUUGUGACAGUAAAUGUGAGUCUCUGGGUUUAUUUAAUUAAGAUUAGACGUCAGAGUCAGCACAGGUGAAGUUUUCACUGUUUAUGGACCAAAACACUGUUUAUGGAUUGAAAACACAAAGUUAGACCAGUGAGGACAUGUUAGCUGCCACUGUAAAGAAACUGCAUCCUUAUUUCCACAUGGAUCAGCGUUAAAGCUGAUUGAUUUAUUGAUCGAGUGAGAGAAAGUUCCUCUCCAGUCCUUGUGAUGGUGUGAAGGUGGAGAUGAAGGGGAGGUCUGCAUACAGCCCAGAGGCAGGAAGCCAGUACAUUUACACCGUGAUGCUCGGGUUAAUGGUUGCUUUAUGAGCCAGAUUUUAAAAUGUUUCCGAUAUGAGUGGUUUGAGGACUUUGAGUCGUAUAUCAGGGUGAAGUUGGUGUUAGCCAGGUAAAAAUAAGGCUCCUCGAUCACUUUAACUUUAAAGAUUUUCUUUUUGUUUGAUUGGUUUCUUAUCUGUAAUUGUUCUGCUGGAAAUCAGGAAAUUCAGAUUACUUCCUCGAAGUCUUUCCUGUCCUGCUGAAAGCAGUUUUAGUUGAGCUGGUGAGAACUUCAUUUCAUGUAACUGGUCUGAUGGUUGGAGGCUGCCGGCUCGAGUCACAUCACAUUUAUGGUGAUCCUUUAUUUAUCAGGUAAAAUUCUCAUUAAAAGUCUGUUUCAAAGGAGACGUAUACAACAACAGUAUCAGGACAAAGACGCACACAGAGCUGAUAUUCAGUCACAAACAUGUGAUCAAACAGAAUAACAGGCCAUCAAAAGCCGUCACUCUCAGUGGGAUCUGAAGGUCGUGAGUUAAUCUGUGACGCUGCUGUCGCUCAGUUUGAUGGUUGUGAAAACUGAAAUCUGAGAGUUUAACGCCAGCCCAGAAGUGUUGCUCAGUGGCAGCACGGUGAGGAAACUUUGUGAGGAAGUUGUAAAACCAGCUCCUGUGUUAUGGGAACCAGUUCAAAUGGCAGAAGUUCAGGUUAGUCCUGAAUAAUGAAAGUAAAGCAUGCAGCUCUCUAUGAACCUCUGUGGUCAUUGUCUAGCCCAGAUUUCUUUGUCAUUUUCACUUAAUUACAGAAGCUUUUAUUUUGUAAAAUAGACUGAAAACAGUUCAUUUCAUAUUAAAUCAACCAAAUCAAAGGAAACUUCAGAAUCAGCUGAUUUCAUUUUUAAUUUAAUUUAAUGAAGCCAUGAAAAAUUAACCUUAAUACUGUGAAUGAUUUCAGAGUUACAGGAAGUUUGGGAGCGUUUCUUAGAUCUGGUUGAUUUUCAUAUCUAAAACGGACUCAGCAGUCAAGACUCACUAUCGUCCUCCCUCACUCUAAUGGGACCAAAAUAAACUUCACUUUUAUUCACUCAUAAAACUAACCUACAAACUCAUCAGAAAGCGUUUGAUGAGCUCAGAGGUCAGGUGGCUUGCAUCCAAUCAGACCUCAGAAGAGUCACCCCCUGCUGGUCGUUAGAGAGAGUGGAUGUCACCUGUGAGAUUAAAGCACCCAGAGUAUGUAUCUGCAAAAUAAAAGCAGCAGUUAAAAUCCAGAAAACAUCCGUCUGCAGGCCAGACGCACGGCACAAAUUUAAAAAUAGAAACAGUUUGAUUUAAAAUUAGAAACUGGAAGCAUCUGUCGGCUGCCAGCACCGGAAACGUGCUCGUCAUCUCCGAGCAUGAAGUAAGGAGAGCCUUCAAGAGAGUGAACACCAGGAAAGCAGCAGGACCAGACGGCAUCCCAGGUCGUAUUCUAAGAGACUGCGCAUACCAGCUAGCUCCUGUGUUCACUGAGAUAUUCAACAUCUCUUUAUCUCAGUCGGUGAUCCCCACAUGCUUCAAAGAGUCCAUCAUUGUUCCUGUCCCGAAGAAACCCCACCCUGCUUCUCUCAAUGACUAUCGCCCUGUAGCCCUCACCUCAGUAGUGAUGAAGUGCUUUGAACGCCUGCUCAGAGACUUCAUCAUUUCUUCACUACCAGACACACUGGACCCACUACAGUUCGCUUACCGUCCAAAUCGUUCCACAGACGAUGCCAUCUCUCAUCUCCUCCACACAUCACUCACUCACUUGGACACUAGAAGGGGGAAUUAUGUUAAAAUGCUCUUCAUAGACUACAGCUCUGCAUUUAACACCAUAAUUCCCUCCACACUCACCACCAAGCUGGAGCAUCUGGGACUCAGCUCAUCUAUGUGUCAGUGGAUCUCCAACUUCCUAACUGGCAGACCACAGGCAGUAAGGAUGGGCGGACAUGUCUCAGCCUCCACCACUCUCAGCACUGGAGCCCCCCAGGGGUGUGUUCUGAGCCCCCUGCUGUACUCUUUGUACACAUAUGACUGUGUGGCCACUACCAGCUCCACCACCAUCAUCAAGUUUGCUGACGACACCGUCGUGGUGGGCCUGAUCUCUGAUAACAACGAGACGGCCUACCUGAAGGAGAUUAGGAAUCUGGAGAACUGGUGCCAGAGGAACAACCUCCUCUAAACGUCAGUAAGACAAAGGAGCUGAUAGUGGACUUCAGCACUAAGCAGGUGAGGAACUACCAGACCCCCGUCAUCAACGAGUGCCCAGUGGAGAGAGUGGACAGCUUCAAAUACCUCGGAGUUCACAUCACGCAGGACCUGUCAUGGUCCUGUCACAUCAACACCGUGGUGAAAAAGGCCCGACAGCGUCUCUACCACCUCAGACGCUUGAGAGACUUCCAACUGCCCUCCAAGGUGCUCAGGAACUUUUACUCGUGCACCAUAGAGAGCAUCCUGGCGGGAAACAUCUUAACCUGGUUCGGGAACAGCACCAUGCAGGACAGACGAGCUCUACAGAGGGUUGUGCGGUCAGCUGAGCGCACCAUCCGCUCCGAGCUCCCUGACCUGCACUCAAUCUACAGCAGGCGGUGCUGGACCAAGGCCAGGAAGAUCGUGAAGGACCUCAGCCAUCCCAACAACAGACUGUUCUCUCUGUUGAGGUCAGGAAAGCGAUUCCGCUCCCUGAAGACCAACACAGAGAGACUGAGGAGGAGCUUCUUCCCGCAGGCGAUACGGUCUCUUAAUCACACCACCACACAGUACUGACCCACACAUACAGUUCUUACACACACACUGGACUUUCUGGACUUUGGUUUUGCACAACACUGGUCACUAUAUUCUUCAUUUCCGGUUAAUACUUGUACAGCUGCUGUUAUUGUGUAUAUAUUUAUUUAUAUUUAGAUUUCUUCAUACAUUCUUAUAUAGUUCUAUACUGUGUAUUGUGUAUUUUGUUGUACAGUUAUUUUAUUUUCAACUUUAAUUUAUAUAUUUAUCUUUAUCUUAUUCUUCCCAGUUAAAUUUACCCUUCAUUCUAAUUUGUGUUGUACAGUUAUUUUAUUUUUAACCUUAAUUUAUAUUUUAUUCCUUCCUAGUUAAAUUUACCCUUUUUAAUUUUUCAUAUUUAUUUCCUAUCUUAUUCAUAGCCUUUCCUUUUUUUGUUCUCUUUAGGUCACGAGCAGUUGUCCAAGUAUUUCACUACAUAUCGUACUGUGUAUGACUGUGUACGUGACAAAUAAAAAUUUGAAUUUGAAUUGAAUUUGCUGCACCGGG